This 651-nucleotide ribosomal RNA is filed under the name Pristimantis sp. ZSFQ 4511. RNAcentral's name for it is "partial large subunit ribosomal RNA". It matches the Rfam family "Bacterial large subunit ribosomal RNA", at positions 1259 to 2414 of the family's 2925-position model. The record is from RNAcentral. Lineage: Eukaryota; Metazoa; Chordata; Amphibia; Anura; Strabomantidae.
UACUGAGAACUUCUAUAAAAAUUAUAGAACUUUUUAUGCUAAAACUAGUAACAAGAGGUAAUCCCUCUCUACAAUGUAGGUAUACGCCAGCAAGAACCCACCACUGACAACUAACAGACCUAAAUAAAAGUAGUAACCUCCCAAGAAAAUCCUACUCCACCCAACUGUUAACCUAAUACCAGAACACUUCAAGAAAGAUUAAAAGAAAGAGAAGGAAUUCGGCAAAUAUUAGUCCCGCCUGUUUACCAAAAACACCGCCUCUUGGCCCCCCAUAAGAGGUCUAGCCUGCCCAGUGACUUCUGUUCAACGGCCGCGGUAUCCUAACCGUGCAAAGGUAGCGUAAUCACUUGUCUUCUAAAUAAAGACCAGUAUGAAAGGCAUCACGAGGACUAAACUGUCUCCUCUCCCUAAUCAGUGAACCUAAUAACCCCGUGAAGAAGCGGGGAUUUUUAUAUAUGACGAGAAGACCCUAUGGAGCUUAAAACAUCAUAACACCUGCCACACACCUAUUUACCCCGGUUCUCCUCCCCGUGACACCCUGAUUAUAUGUUUUUGGUUGGGGUGACCGCGGAGAAAAACCCAUCCUCCACAAUGAAAGGGACUUCCCUAAACAGUAGGCCACAGCUUUAUGUAUCAGCAAACUGACAUCCA